Molecule: ribosomal RNA, 253 nt
Filed under: uncultured bacterium
Lineage: Bacteria
Description: partial 16S ribosomal RNA
Rfam family: Bacterial small subunit ribosomal RNA
Source: RNAcentral
UACGUAGGGGGCAAGCGUUGUCCGGAAUCAUUGGGCGUAAAGCGCGCGUAGGCGGCCCGAUAAGUCCGCUGUGAAAGUCAAAGGCUCAACCUUUGAAUGCCGGUGGAUACUGUCGGGCUAGAGUCCGGAAGAGGCGAGUGGAAUUCCUGGUGUAGCGGUGGAAUGCGCAGAUAUCAGGAGGAACACCAAUGGCGAAGGCAGCUCGCUGGGACGGUACUGACGCUGAGGUGCGAAAGCGUGGGGAGCGAACAGG